GGAGAUUUAGCUCAGUGGUACAGCGCUUGCCUAGCAAGUGAAAGGCCCUGGGUUCGGUCCCCAGCUCUG
Molecule: transfer RNA, 69 nt
Filed under: Rattus norvegicus (Norway rat)
Lineage: Eukaryota; Metazoa; Chordata; Mammalia; Rodentia; Muridae
Rfam family: tRNA
About the family: Transfer RNA (tRNA) molecules are approximately 80 nucleotides in length. Their secondary structure includes four short double-helical elements and three loops (D, anti-codon, and T loops).
Source: Rfam by way of RNAcentral